AUAUCGUACGCGAUGACCCGAGGCCGAGUUAAUCUCGAUAAGGACGUUGAGGUGGGUGAGUCUUGGCCGUACACGUGGCGGGAUGGAGAAGGGUCGCUGUCGGAUCAUGUGAGAAAGCAAUAGUAACCGGCGCUGAUGUUGACUGGGGGCUUUGGUGGACUCGCGGGGUGACACGUGGCGAUAGGGGAGAGGUGUAGUUGGUGUUGAUAAUAGGGCUGGCUACAGAGGAAGACGGGGCUGGCAGCUCAGAAAUAACGGGAGGUUGAUAUUUAAGGCUGUACCGUUCACGAAAACGUGUCGCCACAUACACACAUUAAUCUGUUCAAGCCUUUGUUCAAUUUUUCUCACCUGAUUUUUUGGUAAAGAUUUUUGUAUCCAAAUCUACCUUGAAAUGGAAAAUUAAUAGCGAUGGAUUUUGAUUACACCUAAGAAAAAAAAGACCAGCUGUAAAGAUAAGUUUUAUCAGUUUAGAUAAACAAUUUGCGGGUUUAAACAUAUGAUAUGAUUAGCGUCAGAGUAUCACGUAUUUACGGUUUUUGUCACUAUGAUUGGUGCACGUGCGUUUUCCGUAGCUGGUGAUUAAUCCAGUUUUCUUGUACCGAACAUAUACUCUGAUUUUGAUUGGUGCGAGGCUUAAAAAAGAGAGUGAAACUCGUAUUAUAUUAGAAUAGUGUCUUGAAAUACGGUAAAAAUGUCGUAAUAGUUAAUUUAAUUUGAGAUAAUGUAACUAAAAUGAUGACGCUCUCACUCCCGACACUUCUUGGUCAAUCACGGCGAUAGAAGAGGGGUUGUUCAGCUCAAAUGUGGAAAAAAGAAGCAUGAAAAACAUCUCAUCUUAUCCGUACAAGCCUAAAUUUAAGCAAAAUUGAGCUUAAAGGCUUGGAAAAUGGUCUACCCUUGUUGAUAGGGAGGAGCCAGAUAAUAUGGAUUAGCAAGGCUGAUGACCAAAGAGAGGAGAGAUGAGUUGGAUGGAUCAUGACUCAGAAAAAUGAGGGUUUACAAGACAUGGUUGCUACUUGGUCUAAGGAUUCCUUUCAAAAUGUUAAGAACUUGAUCCAUUUGUAAAUCCAGACGAGUAAAUUUAGGUUAUCGUUUCACUAAGAACCACAAGCUGCUAGAACUCGAUCACUUUGUUAUCAAACUCGAUUCGUCCCACUAUAAACAUGUGGCUUAUUGUUAAAACAAUUCCGAUUUCCAUGGUCAAGUUUCGAAAGCUGCAUGUUUGUAUUACUCAUCAUACUAAUCACAUCCUUGUCAUUCAAACCAUGCUUUUCAUAACUAUCAUUUUGCGUGGGCAAGAAUAUAAACACCUGCUUAAGCAAUUGGUUUAGCUUAAUUGGAAUACGUAAUCAUGUUUGGCAGCAAGAGCCACCAGCUGUUAGGGUUUACCUAAAUGUUGGUUUUAUUUUAAUUAUUCGUAUUUUCUGUUCCAAAUCUGUCAUCGAGUCACCAUCGACUCAUGAAUCAUACCUAGACCAUUCUUCAAUACACACACACACACACACUUGUACAAUAAUAGAAAGAACAAAGUUUGUAUAAUUGAGUUUAGAUGGAGAGUGAGAAUACCAAGUUUGAUAUCGACCUCUAUAAAAGAAAUAAAAUGAAUAAUUGUCAAAUUUUUUUUCCAUAUUAUUGUAGAGGAUUUGAUGCUUUAUGGGUUAACCUGUUAAGUUGUUAUCCUUUGGAAUUUGCUAGCUUCCCAAGUAUAUAUCAAGUUGCAUUCUAGCUUUGGAAAUGGUGGUACCACCUUAAUUGGUUCUGGUUUAGGUUUGGUGUUUUAGAAGGGUAUAAUGACUAGCUAGCUAGUUAAGAUGAUCAUCGUUUUGCUAUGUACCAUUAUCAGACAUUGCAGUAGAGCUUAGUUAUUUCGCGUCAAAGUAUAGUGCAAAAUUUAAAAGUCCCAUAUUGUCUAUCAGAUACAAAUUCCAAAUCUCAAAUUUUCAGCUGUGGCCAAUGCGAGCUGUCUAACGUCUCUAACCAACCAUUAGCUAGCGGAAGAUGUUUAGUUAUCAAGUUGAAGUAAUGGUUCUGAAAAAUUAUAAACGCACAUUACAGCUAAAAAGACUCUGAAUAAUAUAAAUUCUUGGCGAUAUUAUCUAACGGACCACUAACUUGUUCGAUGGGAGACAAUUAUAUUUGAUCCACACAAUUCUAAACAAUUCCACCAAAUAACUAGAGGCAUAGGACAGAAGGAACCCCCUAAACUUAGAUCCACAAGAAUAAGAGCUUCCUUCAUGCUAGAAGCCUAGCUAGAACCAAUAUGCUUACUGUCACUCUUUUCAGUUCUUGUACUUGACUAUAACCAAAAAAAGAAGAAAUCCAAAUGCUUUUCUCUUAUCUUGAUAUGGAGAUCUCAUAUAUGCUCGAUCCGACAGCUUUGCCAAACAAGAUCUCAUAUAUGCUCGAUCCAAACACUCCCACAUCUUCUGCAUAUCGUGUUUUCCUGAAGUUCAGUCAAGAACAAGAUCAUGAUUCAUGAAGUAGACUCUUCUGGUUGACAAUGCUCAAUGAACUCGAGGCAAACAGCAACUCUACUGCUAGUUUUUGUAUAGAAUCCGAUGUUUGAGUACACAAUGCUUUAUUCCUUUUGUCAUUUGCACUUAACCAUGUAACUUGUGUAUUUAAAAGUGACCACAGCAAUAUCGUAUUGAAGGAACCUCAGUCCUUUUUUUUUUUUUUUUUUUUUUUUUUUUUUGUGGCAAUAAUUGUAGCUGCAUUAUCGAUUGGGAAAAACAAUGAUUGUGAAACUAUUUUCCUGAUCGUCGAUGGCAUAUAUUCCCUAAGAUAUACAUGUUUUAUUCUUGCAGGUUUGGCCAAAGUUUUUGCUAAACGCAAUAUUGCUUCAAAGAGAACUGUGAAGCAUGCAAAUACGUCUUCUUCUUUUUUUAAUAGGUAAAGAAAAUAACAAGCUAUACAGUGGCUCUGUAUAAAUGGAAUUGCUGAUAUAUAAAAGCUAUAUAAUAAGCUAAGCAAGAACUGCAUAAUGAGUCUGAUGAGUUGUAAGAAGUGAGAAAAGCUCCAGUUCGAUUUAGUCUUUAUAUGACUUACGACACCCUAAAGAUCUAGUUUGGUUGAGUUUUAUUUUUAUUUGCUCAAUCAACAUCUAACAGUACAUUACUUAUAUUAACCAUCCUGAUAGAGAAAAUUCAUGAAAAAGCAAUGACUGAUUGAUAAAAGAGUUGUUCAAUCAACGAAAAAGGCUGUGAGAUAUUAAGUAGAGUUUUGUGGUUAAGAAAUUUCUGGGUUCAAAAUAGGCUCUCGUCCACAAUCAUACUCUCAUAGUCUCAUUGUCACUAUCUAACUGACGGAUGCUUCUAAAAGCUUAAGACGCAUAUGCUGUAUGUAACUAGAGUCAUAGAGCAAAUAGCAAACCAUACAGUAAUCACUGGCUUGUGUUAAUAACUUAAUAUCAGCAGUUAAAUGGGAGUUCAAGAAUCCUGUAAGAGAAAACUUGUGAAUAAUAGACAAUGAACUUUUAUCCAUCAUUUCACCAACAAGAAGGGGUUGAAAAUUGAAUCUUCCAAAGUUAAAUUUUGUGGUUAAGAAAUCUCUGGGUAAAAUUAGCAUCUCCUUAUCCAUAAUCAUACAUGAUCUAUUUAGUAAUAACAGAUGCACUAACUAAAUGUGUUCACAAUAAACUCCAAUUGUGCUUUUGUGUUUUUGUUCUUUACAGUAAUGCUAAUGCUGUUAGCACAUGCUACCAAGCGCAUGCCUUACCAAGCCUCAUUUUAUGCACUCUACACAAUCCUUCAUUCAAUUAUCAGUAUCUCAAGAUGUUUGUAAAAGAGUGCUCAAAGAAGUCCAUUCAUGUUUUCAAGUUCUUAAUCAAUUAACAAUGCAACAACUGAGAACUAUAAUCAAAUGUAUUCCAAACAUAAUCAAUUUAAAGCAGUGUGAUUCCCUCAGCCUCUCAAAUGCAGCAGUACGUCCUCCCUAAUACUGAGCCCCUUCAUAUUCCUCAUCUUCAAUGGGAACUUAUAGGCAAUAUCAUAUCAGACUGAAGAGAAACAAUCUCCAUAUCUACCUAAGCAAGAAACAGAACUGUUCUUAAACCCAUCUCAUACUGCCUAUCAAUAUAUGGAGACACAAAAAACAAUACAGGGAAUGAGAAAUAUGAUUCGAUGAAAGGAGAAUACUGAACAUCAGUUUAUCAAAACAGAUAACAGCAUUAACUGGUCCUGCUACCACCAGCAGAGCUAUAAAACAUGAGAACCUCCUAAAUUCCACGGACAUUGGUAACAGAACUGUCCAGUUCAUUUUGUUGUCCACUCAUCAGCAACAGCAAAUUGAAUGGCCGAAAUAUGUUAAAAGUACAUUUUUUCCUAGAGUUUAAAUCUACAGUAUUCCCUUCAUAACAAACUAUAGAUUGUCUAGGUAAAAAGUGCAUUUUGUCCUAGAGUUCAAAUCUACAGUAUCUCCUUCAUAACAACUACAGAUUGUUAUAGGACCGAGAUAUCUUGAAGUAUUUCUUAAAACAUGUAUGAAGGUUUUCCAACAGACAAAUUUCUCUCAAAACUCAAAAGACAAGUCAGCCUUUAAAUGCAUGCUUCUAUUAAAUGAAAAACUCACAACUGAAAGUGAAGGGCAACAGUUGUUUACCUCAAUGUCAUCCAACAUCAUUCAUCAAAUUCAAGAACAUCUUACAAUAUAGUAACUAGAUGAAAAGGUCAAAACCGAAGGAAGAAGUAAGAAACUCAUUGCAUUAAAGCUUACUUGAAAUUUGAAACACAUCAAGUAUAAGCUUACUUAACAAUAAUCUUACAUCGCCCUUUAAGAAGGGCAAAUCUAAGUCAUUGACCCAAUGUGCAUAAUAUAUCCUUCAAAAAGGUACUCUACUUCUGCUAAAUAGACCACCAACAAGAAAAUAGUGAUCAGGAGAACAUACCAAAAUGGCUGUUCAUUUGCUGGGAUGCCUAAUUGUUAAUUAUUCUCCGCAGAAUCACUGUCCUUGCCUUCCUUAUAUUGUGGCCACACUUAUCAGCGUUUUGGCUUAAACUUUCGAUGGUUUCCAUAAAAGUUUCCAGCUUUUUGUUGAUCUCAAUCAUCACUAUCUUCACAGCAUCUUCUUCUCUAAUAGCAAAGUCAGCAUUCUGUAGCAGUGCCUCAAUCUCGAUUUCCAAUUUCCCAACAAGCACCCUGAUGUUGUUCAAGUCCGUCAUUGUAAUCAUACUUCCAACCUGCAUUGAGCUUAUAAUCUCCCUCUGUCCUUUCAGAGCCCUCUCAUAGCGGCUCCAAAGCAUAUUACACCACUUCCCGACAGAACCUAUCGGAACAGCCAGUGCACCUGCCAAGGCGGUUACAAGUGGCGGUGCAGCAAUGGCAGCUGCCACCACCGAAAAUAUCAAUACAGACACAAAAGUGGCAACAAAAAUAACAUUUGACACUUUCCGCCAAGCUUUCACUGAUUUCAACUUCUUAUCAAGCUUUCUCUUUCGGACUUGCAAUUUCUGGAGCAUUGAUGCCUGUUGGUUAUACACUGCCUGAAAUAGUACAAAAAACUCUUCCGUGAAAGGGUCCCCGGCUGCCUUAAAUGCCCUCAACUCCUGCAAUGUUCUCACACAUCCCUUCCCGUCGAAACCAGCUUCUACUUCUUCCUCAAACCGCCUCACCGCAGCCUGAAUUAUCAACUGAUUGUUCACUGCACGCUUGAGACAUCUCUCGAGGGCAGUGCAGAAGUCCAAUGUCUGCAGACUGUUCUCAAAGUACUCCUCCACUAGAGAGAACAUCUCUUGAUUGUUCCAUAUAUCCUUCUUGCAUUCGAGAAUGACUUUGACUACUUCGUGGUUCAUCUCAAGCAAACAAUCAGUGACCUCUUUGAGUGAGUCCAAUGAUAGGGACCUCACUUCAACUCCAGUGGAAAGUGAGUUGAACACUCGGCUAGUGCGCUGUUGGACAGAUACAUCAAACGAUUGUAAACCCGAAUCGAGCUUACAUGCUGCCUCAUAAGAGCUCAAAUGGGAUGUGUACUCCGAUUUGGUAUUGUUUUCGAUGGGUUGUUGUGGCAGCGGAGGAGGUGGGGAUGCUGGAGCAUCAACACCUUUGUUUUUACUGCUGUUUGCUCCCAUCAUUAGCUUUCAAAUAAUCAUAAGCUCCCAGAAAUCAAAACUAUGAUUUGUGAAUUAAAAAAGAAAACUCCUUUCCUCUUUCUAGUCUUCAGUUCAAUCAAAAGAUCAUAAAUUUAGCAAAAGCUUGUAAACCCAGCUACCAAAAUGCACAAAAAU
RNAcentral lists this long non-coding RNA (6221 nucleotides) under Fragaria vesca (wild strawberry). Its description in RNAcentral is "long non-coding RNA (FVES_LNC002642)". Lineage: Eukaryota; Viridiplantae; Streptophyta; Magnoliopsida; Rosales; Rosaceae. The record is from RNAcentral.